CUGGAGGUAACUCGUCCAAGGACACCCUGUAUUCUCUGAACUCAGGCCCUCAAGAGAGUGAAAAAAGACAAUCAUGGAAAAGCACAACCAACUGUGACAGAUACAAAGUGGAAAAAAACCUGAGCUUAACAAUGAGAAGCCUCAUGGGCGGAAUUGCAAGAAGACAGCCUAAGCUCUCCUCGUCCGCAUGUGCAAUUAUGUAUAGAUGAAAAAUUACAGAGGCUAAUAAUUACAGUAGCAAUUGUCCACUUGCAGCACAAUUAGCCCUUUGCUCCUCAUUCUGAGAAAGUGACUAAUUGUACCCACAGCAAGCCAACUCUCCAUGUAUUUGUUUUAGAAUGAAAUGUUAUGCUUGCCAGAAAGUCCCACCUACAAGAGCACAGGACCCAGGGCACCAUAAGGCCCAGUGCCCAGGGACUCAGGGCUUUGAAAAACCUACCUUCUAGCCCAGAACAGGCCCUGCAGUAUGUGGGAAAGUGGGUAAAAAUACUAAUGCUGGAGAUCUUGUGGACUACAUCAUGCCAUCUAUAUAUUAAAAAUGAGGAAGGUAAAAAUAGAAUUCAGGUAAUGACAACAAUUAUACUUAAUGAGUACCUUUCAUCGGAGAUCAGAAAUGCCUUCUAGUUAAAUUUCACAGCCUCCGGUGAGAUGUAAGGGGAAAAUAUUUGUAAGCUAAACCUCACUUUUCAGUCAAAGAAUCAGAAGCACUUUAGGCAGCGGUGAAUAGCAGUGUGUCUGAAAUGGAUAGAGGAUAAUUCUCAGAGAUUUCUGACUUCUUGCUCCAGAAAUCACAUUCCUGCUUGUUUUGUUAAGGUAAACACCUUUUCAAAAUAAGGCAUGUAAUGUGUCAGGUGGGUUAUAGAUGAGCAAAAAGAGGUCCUCCUACACUCCCCCUGCACCCC
Molecule: long non-coding RNA, 902 nt
Filed under: Homo sapiens (human)
Lineage: Eukaryota; Metazoa; Chordata; Mammalia; Primates; Hominidae
Description: HSALNT0109689
Source: RNAcentral